CUCUCUCCGGAGAGAGCGGCAGACGGGUGAGUAACGCGUGGGAACCUACCUUUUGGUACGGAAUAACUCAGGGAAACUUGUGCUAAUACCGUAUGUGCCCUUCGGGGGAAAGAUUUAUCGCCAAAAGAUGGGCCCGCGUUGGAUUAGCUAGUUGGUGAGGUAAUGGCUCACCAAGGCGACGAUCUAUAGCUGGUCUGAGAGGACGAUCAGCCACACUGGGACUGAGGCACGGCCCAG
Molecule: ribosomal RNA, 237 nt
Filed under: uncultured bacterium
Lineage: Bacteria
Description: partial 16S ribosomal RNA
Rfam family: Bacterial small subunit ribosomal RNA
Source: RNAcentral